RNAcentral lists this long non-coding RNA (1206 nucleotides) under Anas platyrhynchos platyrhynchos (common mallard). Its description in RNAcentral is "lncRNA (ENSAPLG00000031028.1)". Lineage: Eukaryota; Metazoa; Chordata; Aves; Anseriformes; Anatidae. The record is from RNAcentral.
GGGGUUACCGGGGGGUUACCAUGGUUAUUUGGGGGGGUUACCGGGGGUCACCGUGGUUACCGGGGGAUUACCGGGGGGUUACCGGGAGGUUACCAUGGUUACCGGGGGUUGCUAUGGUUACCGGGGGGGUUAUCAUAGGGUUACCAUGGUUACCGGGGGGUUACCGGGGGGGUCACCGUGGUUACCGGGGGGUCCCGGGGUGCCCCGGUCCCGGUGCCCGGCCCUGACCCCCUCCCGUUUUUCCUUCCCCCCCCCAGGAGGUGCCGAGCCCCGGAGCUGAGGAGCCGGAGCCCAGCGGGGGCUGGGGGCUGGGGGGCAGCGACAGCGAGAGCGGGGGGGGCAGCGAGGAGGAGGAGGAGGAGGAGGAGGAGGAGGAGGAGGAGGGGAGCGGAGAGGAAGAUGAGGACGAGGAGGAGGAGGAAGACGACGAGGAUGAAGAUGAGGAGGAUGAGGAUGAUGAUGAGGAAGAGCCCGGCAGCACCACAGCCCCCCCAGCACGGGGGUGUCCAGGCCACCUGGGCACAAAGGUUGGUGGAAAAUUCACGCUGGAGCUCGCCCUAAUGCGCAGCUCCUGCCGUGCCCCCGUUCAGCACCGGUCCCCCUCGGGGUGUCCCCGUCCCCCUCGGGGUGUCCCCAUCCCAGUGCCCCCUCCAGCAGCCACUGGGGACCCCCAGCUCGGCUCCUCAGAGCACCCAAUUCCCUCCACCACGCGAGUUUCCUGGCUCCUGACGCUCAUUUUUCUUGGCGCUGGCCCCCAGCCCAGGAUUUUGGGAGCUGGGUGCAGAGCGGGGUUGGGCAUUUUUUGGGACCCGGAGCAGAGGUGAGUUUGUAGGGAAAAACCCCCCAGAAACAGGAUUUUUGGCCCAGGAACCGGCACCCAGCUGCAGCGCUGACUCCUCUGCCUUUGCUAAAUUCCUUCUCAAAACUCAAAUUAUUUUUUUAGCCCCGUUUGGAGGCUAAAAACCCGUUGGAGGUGACACCACCCCCUGCGGCACGGCGUCGCGCUGGGGGCUGGGAGCAGUGCCCCGAGCACCAGACCUCGGUGCUGCUUCACCAAAAAAAGGCUCGUGGAGUCAUUUGGGAUGGCCAAGACCUCACCAAAAAAGGGCUCGUGGAGUCGUUUGGGAUGGAGAAGACCUCACCAAAAAAGGGCUCGUGGAGUCGUUUGGGAUGGCCAAGACCUCACCAAAAAAGGGCUCGUGGAGU